CCUAGUAACGGCGAGUGAAGCGGCAACAGCUCAAAUUUGAAAUCUGGCCUCGGCCCGAGUUGUAAUUUGCAGAGGAAGCUUUAGGCGCGGCACCGACUGAGUCCCCUGGAACGGGGCGCCACAGAGGGUGAGAGCCCCGUAUAGUCGGACGCUAAGCCUGUGUAAAGCUCCUUCGACGAGUCGAGUAGUUUGGGAAUGCUGCUCAAAAUGGGAGGUAAAUUUCUUCUAAAGCUAAAUACCGGCCAGAGACCGAUAGCGCACAAGUAGAGUGAUCGAAAGAUGAAAAGCACUUUGAAAAGAGGGUUAAAUAGCACGUGAAAUUGUUGAAAGGGAAGCGCUUGUGACCAGACUUGCGCCUGGCUGAUCAUCCGGUGUUCUCACCGGUGCACUCUGCCAGGCUCAGGCCAGCAUCGGUUCUCGCGGGGGGAUAAAGGCCCUGGGAACGUAGCUCCUCCGGGAGUGUUAUAGCCCAGGGUGCAAUGCCCUCGCGGGGACCGAGGUUCGCGCAUCUGCAAGGAUGCUGGCGUAAUGGUCAUCAGCGACCCGUCUUGAAACACGGACCAAGGAGUCAAGGUUUUGCGCGAGUGUUUGGGUGUAAAACCCGCACGCGUAAUGAAAGUGAACGUAGGUGAGAGCUUCGGCGCAUCAUCGACCGAUCCUGAUGUUUUCGGAUGGAUUUGAGUAGGAGCGUUAAGCCUUGGACCCGAAAGAUGGUGAACUAUGCUUGGAUAGGGUGAAGCCAGAGGAAACUCUGGUGGAGGCUCGCAGCGGNUUCUGACGUGCAAAUCGAUCGUCAAAUCUGAGCAUGGGGGGCGAAAGACU
This 822-nucleotide ribosomal RNA is filed under the name Chaetomiaceae sp. RNAcentral describes it as "partial large subunit ribosomal RNA". It matches the Rfam family "Eukaryotic large subunit ribosomal RNA", at positions 79 to 932 of the family's 3401-position model. Lineage: Eukaryota; Fungi; Ascomycota; Sordariomycetes; Sordariales; Chaetomiaceae. The record is from RNAcentral.